UCUUAUCUAGUUGUCGUUUUUAUGGU
RNAcentral lists this non-coding RNA (26 nucleotides) under Cricetulus griseus (Chinese hamster). The record is from RNAcentral. Lineage: Eukaryota; Metazoa; Chordata; Mammalia; Rodentia; Cricetidae.